This 1289-nucleotide ribosomal RNA is filed under the name uncultured bacterium. RNAcentral describes it as "partial 16S ribosomal RNA". It matches the Rfam family "Bacterial small subunit ribosomal RNA", at positions 89 to 1399 of the family's 1533-position model. The record is from RNAcentral.
GACUGAGUGGCGGACGGGUGAGUAACGCGUGGGUAACCUACCUCAUACAGGGGGAUAACAGUUAGAAAUGACUGCUAAUACCGCAUAAGCGCACAGUAUUGCAUGAUACAGUGUGAAAAACUCCGGUGGUAUGAGAUGGACCCGCGUCUGAUUAGCUAGUUGGUAAGGUAACGGCUUACCAAGGCGACGAUCAGUAGCCGGCCUGAGAGGGUGAACGGCCACAUUGGAACUGAGACACGGUCCGAACUCCUACGGGAGGCAGCAGUGGGGAAUAUUGCACAAUGGGGGAAACCCUGAUGCAGCGACGCCGCGUGAGUGAUGAAGUAUUUCGGUAUGUAAAGCUCUAUCAGCAGGGAAGAUAAUGACGGUACCUGACUAAGAAGCUCCGGCUAAAUACGUGCCAGCAGCCGCGGUAAUACGUAUGGAGCAAGCGUUAUCCGGAUUUACUGGGUGUAAAGGGUGCGUAGGUGGUAUGGUAAGUCAGAAGUGAAAACCCGGGGCUCAACCCCGUGGAUUGCUUUUGAAACUAUCAAACUAGAGUACAGGAGAGGUAAGCGGAAUUCCUAGUGUAGCGGUGAAAUGCGUAGAUAUUAGGAGGAACACCAGUGGCGAAGGCGGCUUACUGGACUGAAACUGACGCUGAGACACGAAAGUGUGGGGAGCAAACAGGAUUAGAUACCCUGGUAGUCCACACAGUAAACGAUGAAUGCUAGGUGUGGGGGAGCAAUCCUCCGUGCCGGAGUUAACACAAUAAGCAUUCCACCUGGGGAGUACGGCCGCAAGGUUGAAACUCAAAGGAAUUGACGGGAGCCCGCACAAGCAGUGGAGUAUGUGGUUUAAUUCGACGCAACGCGAAGAACCUUACCAGGAAUUGACAUCCAAGGAACCCGGCGUAAUGGCUGGGGUGCCCUUCGGGGAAUCUUGAGACAGGUGGUGCAUGGUUGUCGUCAGCUCGUGUCGUGAGAUGUUGGGUUAAGUCCCGCAACGAGCGCAACCCCUACCGUCAGUUACUACAUUAAGUUGAGGACUCUGGCGGGACUGCCGUUGACAAAACGGAGGAAGGUGGGGAUGACGUCAAAUCAUCAUGCCCCUUACAUUCUGGGCUACACACGUGCUACAAUGGGUGGUACAGAGGGCAGCCAAGUCGUGAGGCGGAGCUAAUCCCUUAAAGCCAUUCUCAGUUCGGAUUGUAGGCUGAAACUCGCCUACAUGAAGCUGGAGUUACUAGUAAUCGCAGAUCAGAAUGCUGCGGUGAAUGCAUUCCCGGGUCUUGCACACACCGCCCGUCA